This 2931-nucleotide ribosomal RNA is filed under the name Escherichia coli. Its description in RNAcentral is "23S ribosomal RNA". It matches the Rfam family "Bacterial large subunit ribosomal RNA". The record is from RNAcentral. Lineage: Bacteria; Pseudomonadati; Pseudomonadota; Gammaproteobacteria; Enterobacterales; Enterobacteriaceae.
GGGUUGUGAGGUUAAGCGACUAAGCGUACACGGUGGAUGCCCUGGCAGUCAGAGGCGAUGAAGGACGUGCUAAUCUGCGAUAAGCGUCGGUAAGGUGAUAUGAACCGUUAUAACCGGCGAUUUCCGAAUGGGGAAACCCAGUGUGAUUCGUCACACUAUCAUUAACUGAAUCCAUAGGUUAAUGAGGCGAACCGGGGGAACUGAAACAUCUAAGUACCCCGAGGAAAAGAAAUCAACCGAGAUUCCCCCAGUAGCGGCGAGCGAACGGGGAGCAGCCCAGAGCCUGAAUCAGUGUGUGUGUUAGUGGAAGCGUCUGGAAAGGCGCGCGAUACAGGGUGACAGCCCCGUACACAAAAAUGCACAUGCUGUGAGCUCGAUGAGUAGGGCGGGACACGUGGUAUCCUGUCUGAAUAUGGGGGGACCAUCCUCCAAGGCUAAAUACUCCUGACUGACCGAUAGUGAACCAGUACCGUGAGGGAAAGGCGAAAAGAACCCCGGCGAGGGGAGUGAAAAAGAACCUGAAACCGUGUACGUACAAGCAGUGGGAGCACAGAGCAAUCUGUGUGACUGCGUACCUUUUGUAUAAUGGGUCAGCGACUUAUAUUCUGUAGCAAGGUUAACCGAAUAGGGGAGCCGAAGGGAAACCGAGUCUUAACUGGGCGUUAAGUUGCAGGGUAUAGACCCGAAACCCGGUGAUCUAGCCAUGGGCAGGUUGAAGGUUGGGUAACACUAACUGGAGGACCGAACCGACUAAUGUUGAAAAAUUAGCGGAUGACUUGUGGCUGGGGGUGAAAGGCCAAUCAAACCGGGAGAUAGCUGGUUCUCCCCGAAAGCUAUUUAGGUAGCGCCUCGUGAAUUCAUCUCCGGGGGUAGAGCACUGUUUCGGCAAGGGGGUCAUCCCGACUUACCAACCCGAUGCAAACUGCGAAUACCGGAGAAUGUUAUCACGGGAGACACACGGCGGGUGCUAACGUCCGUCGUGAAGAGGGAAACAACCCAGACCGCCAGCUAAGGUCCCAAAGUCAUGGUUAAGUGGGAAACGAUGUGGGAAGGCCCAGACAGCCAGGAUGUUGGCUUAGAAGCAGCCAUCAUUUAAAGAAAGCGUAAUAGCUCACUGGUCGAGUCGGCCUGCGCGGAAGAUGUAACGGGGCUAAACCAUGCACCGAAGCUGCGGCAGCGACACUAUGUGUUGUUGGGUAGGGGAGCGUUCUGUAAGCCUGUGAAGGUGUACUGUGAGGUAUGCUGGAGGUAUCAGAAGUGCGAAUGCUGACAUAAGUAACGAUAAAGCGGGUGAAAAGCCCGCUCGCCGGAAGACCAAGGGUUCCUGUCCAACGUUAAUCGGGGCAGGGUGAGUCGACCCCUAAGGCGAGGCCGAAAGGCGUAGUCGAUGGGAAACAGGUUAAUAUUCCUGUACUUGGUGUUACUGCGAAGGGGGGACGGAGAAGGCUAUGUUGGCCGGGCGACGGUUGUCCCGGUUUAAGCGUGUAGGCUGGUUUUCCAGGCAAAUCCGGAAAAUCAAGGCUGAGGCGUGAUGACGAGGCACUACGGUGCUGAAGCAACAAAUGCCCUGCUUCCAGGAAAAGCCUCUAAGCAUCAGGUAACAUCAAAUCGUACCCCAAACCGACACAGGUGGUCAGGUAGAGAAUACCAAGGCGCUUGAGAGAACUCGGGUGAAGGAACUAGGCAAAAUGGUGCCGUAACUUCGGGAGAAGGCACGCUGAUAUGUAGGUGAAGUCCCUCGCGGAUGGAGCUGAAAUCAGUCGAAGAUACCAGCUGGCUGCAACUGUUUAUUAAAAACACAGCACUGUGCAAACACGAAAGUGGACGUAUACGGUGUGACGCCUGCCCGGUGCCGGAAGGUUAAUUGAUGGGGUUAGCGCAAGCGAAGCUCUUGAUCGAAGCCCCGGUAAACGGCGGCCGUAACUAUAACGGUCCUAAGGUAGCGAAAUUCCUUGUCGGGUAAGUUCCGACCUGCACGAAUGGCGUAAUGAUGGCCAGGCUGUCUCCACCCGAGACUCAGUGAAAUUGAACUCGCUGUGAAGAUGCAGUGUACCCGCGGCAAGACGGAAAGACCCCGUGAACCUUUACUAUAGCUUGACACUGAACAUUGAGCCUUGAUGUGUAGGAUAGGUGGGAGGCUUUGAAGUGUGGACGCCAGUCUGCAUGGAGCCGACCUUGAAAUACCACCCUUUAAUGUUUGAUGUUCUAACGUGGACCCGUGAUCCGGGUUGCGGACAGUGUCUGGUGGGUAGUUUGACUGGGGCGGUCUCCUCCUAAAGAGUAACGGAGGAGCACGAAGGUUGGCUAAUCCUGGUCGGACAUCAGGAGGUUAGUGCAAUGGCAUAAGCCAGCUUGACUGCGAGCGUGACGGCGCGAGCAGGUGCGAAAGCAGGUCAUAGUGAUCCGGUGGUUCUGAAUGGAAGGGCCAUCGCUCAACGGAUAAAAGGUACUCCGGGGAUAACAGGCUGAUACCGCCCAAGAGUUCAUAUCGACGGCGGUGUUUGGCACCUCGAUGUCGGCUCAUCACAUCCUGGGGCUGAAGUAGGUCCCAAGGGUAUGGCUGUUCGCCAUUUAAAGUGGUACGCGAGCUGGGUUUAGAACGUCGUGAGACAGUUCGGUCCCUAUCUGCCGUGGGCGCUGGAGAACUGAGGGGGGCUGCUCCUAGUACGAGAGGACCGGAGUGGACGCAUCACUGGUGUUCGGGUUGUCAUGCCAAUGGCACUGCCCGGUAGCUAAAUGCGGAAGAGAUAAGUGCUGAAAGCAUCUAAGCACGAAACUUGCCCCGAGAUGAGUUCUCCCUGACUCCUUGAGAGUCCUGAAGGAACGUUGAAGACGACGACGUUGAUAGGCCGGGUGUGUAAGCGCAGCGAUGCGUUGAGCUAACCGGUACUAAUGAACCGUGAGGCUUAACCUUACAACGCCGAAGCUGUU